CAGGGGAUAGUUUAUAUAAAACACUAGUUUUGGGUAUUAGAAAAAAAAUUAAUAUAUUUUCUUCUGA
RNAcentral lists this transfer RNA (67 nucleotides) under Typhoptera quadrituberculata. Its description in RNAcentral is "tRNA-Pro". Lineage: Eukaryota; Metazoa; Arthropoda; Insecta; Orthoptera; Tettigoniidae. The record is from RNAcentral.